GGAGCCCAGCUGGCUUCACCCAGUGGAUCCCACACCAGGGCUGCAGGUGGAGCUGCCUGCCAGUCCCGCGCCGUGUGCUUGCACUCCUCAGCCCUUGGGUGGUCGAUCCGACUGGGCGCCGUGGAGCAGGGGGUGGCACUCGUCGAGGAGGCUCCGGCAGCACAGGAGCCCAUGGAAGGAGUGGGAGGCUCAGGCAUGGCGGCCUGCAGGUCCCGAGCCCUGCCCCGCGGGAAGGCAGCUAAGGCCCGGUGAGAAAUCGAGCGCAGCGCCGGUGGGCUGGCACUGCUGGGGUACCCAGUACACCCUCCGCAGCCGCUGGCCCGGGUGCUAAGUUACUCAUUGCCCGGGGCCGGUAGGGCCGGCCGGCUG
RNAcentral lists this long non-coding RNA (369 nucleotides) under Homo sapiens (human). RNAcentral's name for it is "HSALNT0323240". The record is from RNAcentral. Lineage: Eukaryota; Metazoa; Chordata; Mammalia; Primates; Hominidae.